UACAGGAGACCCCAUCUUUCCCAGAAAAGGGAAUUGAAAAUUUUACCCCAAAUUUAUAUGGAAAAUGUCCCCCGUAAAAGGCCCAAAACAAGAAACACAAAAGCACGAUCUCCAAAGUCUGCAACCUUCUAUCUGAAGCUGUGCUUCCCUCUCAGUUCCAUAGUGCUUUCUUGUUCUCUCCGCUGCAACACUCAAACCGAUCGCGGAGCCUCUGCGAAGCUCUAUGAACUCCUCUCUCGUUCUAUAUAGUUCUUGGUCUUGCCUCUGCAAUCAGGUCAUUCUAGAGAGGGAGUGAAGAGGGAGAAGCAGAGCUUUGAGAUGUUCACUAAUCGGCCUCAAAUUACAGAUUUUAGUUAUCCAGGUACUCUUAAAGUGUUAAAAAAUGAUUUUCUUAGGUUUUUAUCACUGUAUGAGAUUCCAAAAUUUGUUGAGAAUCUGGGAAUGGAGUAAUGGACCUCCGAUUUCAAGUUUUGGUGAAGAUUACGAGAAGGUUGAGUUCUCUCAUCUCUGGGUGUCUUUGAGGAGAUCUGAGAUUGUACACUGUUUUGCCGAUUUGGACUCUCUGAUGCAUAAUGAUCUCGUCGCCUCCUACCUCGCAUGAAAACAGGGGCUGCACCCCAUAUCUCUUAUUCCUCCUUCCUUCAAUCCUCUGGAAAGUGAUGCAACGACACUCCUAUGCAAAACAUAAGUAGGUGCUUCAUCAAAUGUAUAGGUUCGGCAUUUCAGAUGCCAUUGAUCUAAGAAUAACCAAGAGUGGCUGCUUGGAGGCGCUCGUCAAGUGUUCGACCAAAUGCUCCACGGAAACCUCAUCGUUUGACGUUUAUGUUUACAUUGCAAUGAAUUAUCUAAACAUACCUUGGAAAAUUUUUUUAAAUGUAAAAUUUUACGAGUAAGAUUUUACUUUACAUGUAAUAUUUACUUGUGAAAUUUUACAUCAAAACAAACGGAGCCAAAGGGAAACAAAGGUGAGUAAUCAAAUAAUUUUUCCUAUGUUUUA
Long non-coding RNA from Macadamia integrifolia, 997 nucleotides. RefSeq lists it as uncharacterized. NCBI's taxonomy places the organism in Eukaryota, Viridiplantae, Streptophyta, Magnoliopsida, Proteales, Proteaceae. The transcript is spliced from 2 exons. The record is from RefSeq and is a predicted model, not a curated record.